RNAcentral lists this ribosomal RNA (433 nucleotides) under uncultured bacterium. Its description in RNAcentral is "partial 16S ribosomal RNA". It matches the Rfam family "Bacterial small subunit ribosomal RNA", at positions 29 to 507 of the family's 1533-position model. The record is from RNAcentral.
AACGAACGCUGGCGGCAUGCCUAACACAUGCAAGUCGAACGAGACCUUCGGGUCUAGUGGCGCACGGGUGCGUAACGCGUGGUAAUCUGCCCUUGGGUUCGGAAUCACAGUGAGAAAUUACUGCUAAUACCGGAUGAUGUCUUCGGACCAAAGAUUUUUCGCCCAGGGAUGGGCACGCGUAGGCUUAGCUAGUUGGUGGGGUCAUGGCCUACCAAGGCGACGAUCCUUAGCUGGUCUGAGAGGAUGAUCAGCCACACUGGUACUGAGACACAGCCCAGACUCCUACAGGAGGCAGGAGUGGGGAAUAUUGGACUAUCGGCGGAAGGCAGAACGAGCAAUGGCGGGUGAGUGAUGAAGGCCUGAGGGAUGUAAAGCUCUUUUACCCGGGAUGAUAAUGACAGUACCGGAAGAAUAAGCACCGGCUAACUCCGUG